GUCCACGGCCAUGCCACCCUGAACAAGCCCGAUCCCGUCUGAUUUCGAAAGCUAAGAAGGGUCGAGCCUGGUUAGUACUUAGAUGGGAGAUCACCUAAGAAGACCAGGUGCUGUAGGCG
Molecule: ribosomal RNA, 119 nt
Filed under: Pteropus alecto (black flying fox)
Lineage: Eukaryota; Metazoa; Chordata; Mammalia; Chiroptera; Pteropodidae
Source: RNAcentral